RNAcentral lists this unclassified non-coding RNA (1173 nucleotides) under Hevea brasiliensis (rubber tree). The record is from RNAcentral. Lineage: Eukaryota; Viridiplantae; Streptophyta; Magnoliopsida; Malpighiales; Euphorbiaceae.
GAAAUACGUGAAAUAUUGUUAUAGAGAACAGACGUGCAAUUUGAUAAGAGUUCCGUUAAAUAGAGCUCACAAUGACUGUCACAGAGUUGAGCAACAAGACAAGUUUCCGUUACAACAGCAAAUCAUGCCAGUGAACAAAUUUUCAACACUCGUUUCACUAUAACUGAUCUUAUCUAAUGUUCUUUAGAUUUGAAGAGCAUCAGCUAUUGAUCCUGCCAAACUAAUAACUUCAAAUGGAGCCUUAUUGGCGACGGCUUUCACAGUAUGAGGACAUGAAUCUGUCGUCCAAAAGUAAGUGAAUGCUUUCUCAGAGCCAUCAUUCUUGUGAAGAAAACGCUCCCAUGACCGGUUUGGGAAAAUUCCAUGGGUCACAUAAGCACUAACUUUUGAUGCACCAUGAGAGGCCAAAACUUUCUGGCAUUCAAUUAGGGUACCUCCAGACUGGACCAAAUCGUCAACAAUGACCACAUGACAGCCAGCAGGAUUACCCUCUUUUAGCCUGACGAUUCUCUUAUCACCUUCACGCACUUUAGUGCAGAUAACAGUGGGAUAAUGAACUAGUUGCUUGUGAAACCUCUUCCAAGCUCCAUCAUCAGGAAAGGCUAUAACUAUCUUUUCAGAGUUAGGAAGUUGCUGAAGACGUUGCUUCAGCAGUGGAAUUCCAGUCUCAAACAGAGGCAGCACAUUAUCUCCAAAAUAGAACCUCUCCUGCAAUGCAUGUAUGUCAUAGAUAACUAAGCUGGUUGGACCACCCCUUGAUAUUGGAAUAUUUGAUAUUAUUCUGGCCAUGGUAAAUGCAGUGGCCACAUCUCCUUCUUCCUCCAUCCUCUCAAAGGUACCAGUUGGGAAGAAAGGUAACACAAGCGUAAAUGAGGCGACAAACAGCCUUGGAAGUGCGAAUAUCACAGAAAGCUGUUCAAAGAUGACUGCAGGUGAGCUGAAAGAUGCUAGAAAAGCAACAUGCUGCCCGCGGAUAUCAUGUGCAUUGUUUAUAAAGAGAUUUGGGAAACCAUCAGCAAAACUCCUCCAGUUAAUAGAAUGGAGGGUAAUAGAAUCGGAUUCCGAAGCGAUUUUGCGAGCAACAUCUUCCAUCUCAACACAGUAAUAGAGAAGCACUUGCUUCUUCAUCUUCUUCAUAGCUGAAUUCUCCAUCAAAACCCCACAGUAGCAGAG